RNAcentral lists this ribosomal RNA (253 nucleotides) under uncultured bacterium. RNAcentral describes it as "partial 16S ribosomal RNA". It matches the Rfam family "Bacterial small subunit ribosomal RNA", at positions 524 to 776 of the family's 1533-position model. The record is from RNAcentral.
UACGUAGGGGGCAAGCGUUGUCCGGAUUUAUUGGGCGUAAAGAGCGUGUAGGCGGCUAUACAGGUCCGCUGUGAAAACUCGAGGCUCAACCUCGAGACGUCGGUGGAAACCGUAUGGCUAGAGUCCGGAAGAGGAGAGUGGAAUUCCUGGUGUAGCGGUGAAAUGCGCAGAUAUCAGGAAGAACACCGGUGGCGAAGGCGGCAUCCUGGACCGGUAUUGACGCUGAGGCGCGAAAGCUAGGGGAGCAAACAGG